ACACUGGUGAAUCAAAUCCUCCCGCUGAUUUACCAAGUAGUUCUCGUCAUUAUUGGUACGUUCAUUCCAUAAUCUUUGGCAAGUUUCAGUUUCCCGAACUGUUUGCUCCAACGCCUCCAUUGCCAAAUUAUAGGUUAGUUGUUUUUCAGCAAGAGAUGCUUCAUGGCAUUUUGAAAGUUCGCUCAGCUGAGUGAAGACAUUGGGAAGGGUUUGGUGAGUAAGUUUAUUAGAAAAGUAAGAAAUAGGUUUUUUGGACGAUAAGUGGUCAUCAAGUGAUUGCGGAUAUUUUAAGUUAUCUAUCAAAUUAUCCUCGAUUUUGGAAUUUAAGGGGGAAUCAUCAUUUUCGGGAAAAGACAUGUCUUUCGAAGACAAAAAAUCUGUUGGGUAUUGGCCCUGAUUAUUUGGUAUGGAGGAUGAUGCAUAAAAGGAUAAUAAUAAUCUCGCGCAUUUCUUUGCACCAUUUCUAGCGCAGAUCAAAAGAGCGGUAUCCCCAUGAUCAUCCUGAAGGUUUAUAAUUUGGGCAGCGACAUCAACGGAUUGUGUUGCAGUUAAAUUUUGCAAUAAGAUAUCCAUAUAAUAACGAGCGGCUUCCAUCUUUGAUUUAGAAGAAGCUAAUAAUGCGAUGUGGUGAAAGACGGUUUGGCCAAAAGAGUCGUUCAUGCAGAUAGCAGAUUGAAGCAACUCCGAAACUACCUCAAAAGUCUGUAAAUCAUAGUUCAUGGUAAACAUUACACAGCGCAUCAAAGAUGUUUGUUGAAGGUAAUUGACAGCAACUACGUUGGCGCCUGCUUGCAAUAGUGCAUGCAUCAUUUCCAAAUUUCCCAUUGCAGCAGCCCAAUGAAGUGCUGUAUGACCAUCCUCAUCAAUGCCAGCAUUAACAUCCCAAUCUGAUGGCCGAUCAUAUACGAAAUCAGGAGGUUGUGUAGUAUUUGGUAAUAAAAAGUAAUCCAAGAGAGACUGCGCAUAAUUGUUUGAAGAAAACGGAGAAGCUUUGAUAUCGUGCAAAGAUCCCGUAAAGGAAUCAGAAGGCAUAUCGGGAGAGCGCGUGAAAUCAGAUUGAAGAGACAAAGCAUCAUGGAUUCCUGACAUUCUAGAAGUAGAUGUCAUAUUAUUGGAAGAUGUGUAAGGGUAGAGUAAAGAAUGCGAAGGCCGGGAAAAUGACUUUUUUACUGGACUGUUUCGUCGAUAUGCUUCUGUAGGCUUACGAUUGCUCUGAGGAGUGAACGUAGACAUUGGCAUGAACGCAGAGCCAGAGUAUUCAAUCAGAGGUUGUA
This is a non-coding RNA of Schizosaccharomyces pombe (fission yeast), 1274 nucleotides long. The record is from the annotation of a GenBank genome assembly. Lineage: Eukaryota; Fungi; Ascomycota; Schizosaccharomycetes; Schizosaccharomycetales; Schizosaccharomycetaceae.